This is a long non-coding RNA of Apodemus sylvaticus (European woodmouse), 672 nucleotides long. RefSeq lists it as uncharacterized. The transcript has 3 exons. Lineage: Eukaryota; Metazoa; Chordata; Mammalia; Rodentia; Muridae. The record is from RefSeq and is a predicted model, not a curated record.
GCACAAUUAACCCGCCCAGCUGCACACAGCGGGAGGAACCCGCCCGGCCGAACAGAGUCCCUUCAUUUCUACCUGAAAAAUUUCCAAGUGCUCAACCAGUCUUUCAAACUUUUUUGGAACAUAGUAUAUGAAGAAGAAACAAUCAACCAACCAACAACAACUAGCCCAGAAAAUCCUCUCUGGGUGCAAAGCAGGGAACAUUCCAGCAGCAACAGACAAUAGUUCCUAUUACAGGAUUACAAGCCUCUAGCUACAGAGCCAGGAAUCUGCAACUCCUGAUUAUAUCUUUAUAGUAAAGAUCAAGUCAAGGAAGAGAAUCCCACCAAUCCCUGAGCUUGCUACAGAAUCCCACCAAUCCCUGAGCUUGCCCCCAAAUCAGGCCACAUAAUCCCUUGGUUGGAGAACCUUGCUAUUAAGGUAGCAGUCCUCCAUGACUCCAUAGCUUUCUGAACUAGGUGCAAAAUGGGGGACUUCCAUUCUCAGCAGGGCUUCCCGGUCUCUGCCUGUCUUUGGAGAGUGUCCCUGAACACAGGUGACUGGCCUUGUCUGAGAAGUGACCCUUUGCAAGGCUGCAUAACUCAGUCCACAUGUCUCACUCUGGCUUCCCGCCAACAUAAUUAGGUGCUGUAUUAUAAUCAAUCGGCUCCUCCUGCUCUCUUGAUGUCAUGACCA